CCGCAGCGCUCUUCAUCCGGAUCCACCUCCCGAGAUCCCACGGCCGUUUCUCCUCCUCUCCAUGCGCAAUCAAGGUUCCAUGCUCUGGCGAUCUAUAAGAAGGGGAGAACGAGAGGAGGAGGGGGGUCCUCGGUUGGGGUUGAGGCCAAGAAAUAGAGAGGAGGAGGGGAGGUUCUCGGCUUGGUGAGGGGAAGCUCUGUUCAAAAGAAACAGAGGAGGAGCUCUGUUUUCCGAGAAGAAGGAAGAAAAAAAAUAAUAUUUUAUUUUUUUUAGUAUUCAACCGAGAGGGGUUACUUGUUCCCUUGUUUUCAUUUUUUUUUUCCUUCUUACUUUUGUAAGCAUUUUCCUUUCUAUGCAAGCUAUUAAAUUUUCUUUUAUGCAAUCCAUGUUAUAGGUUUUGUUUAAUUUCUGUUCUUUUAUGCAAUCCAUUUAUUUUUCUUUCAUGCAAUCUAUGUUCCAAGCUUCAAUUUUCUUAAGCACUGUUUUCAUCCAUGCCAAAGUUUUUCUUUGAGUAGUUAAAUAUUUC
This 526-nucleotide long non-coding RNA is filed under the name Phoenix dactylifera (date palm). RNAcentral's name for it is "long non-coding RNA (PDAC_LNC019677)". The record is from RNAcentral. Lineage: Eukaryota; Viridiplantae; Streptophyta; Magnoliopsida; Arecales; Arecaceae.